GUCCAUCCUGCUACACCAUUUAUGACUACAGCAAAGGCUACAUAUAAGAAAUACAUGCAACAGCAUUCAGAGGGUGCCAGGCAUGGGACCCCCAGAGGGU
This is a long non-coding RNA of Sapajus apella (tufted capuchin), 100 nucleotides long. RefSeq lists it as uncharacterized. NCBI's taxonomy places the organism in Eukaryota, Metazoa, Chordata, Mammalia, Primates, Cebidae. The record is from RefSeq and is a predicted model, not a curated record. The transcript is spliced from 3 exons.